This is a non-coding RNA of Biomphalaria pfeifferi, 1258 nucleotides long. NCBI's taxonomy places the organism in Eukaryota, Metazoa, Mollusca, Gastropoda, Planorbidae. The record is from the annotation of a GenBank genome assembly.
CAAAAAUACAGAAUUAGAGAUGACAAAAUAAUAUCUUUUUUUUUUCCUCUUUACACUAUAAUUCAAUGAACAAUACUCAUUCAUUGGUCCAAAUGCUGCAUUAAUAAAAAAAAAAAAAAAAGUACAAAAUAUGAUGACAACUCUAAAAAUGUAUUUCAAAAACUAAACCAAUUUAACAUUUGCAUAAAUGACAGAACUCAUGGGAUAAUAAAGUUAUUAACUUGCAUUUAGUUUCAUGUUUAAGAACUAUAUCAAGAGGCACUAAUGAGAGCCUAAGUUCAUCUAUAUUUCUUCCUACCCAAAAAAAUGUCCAAUUCAAAAGAAAGGAUGUUUCAUUUUAUAUUUUACAUAAUCAGUGAUACCAACAUGUGACCAAAAAAUUUGAAAAUUUCCAACUGCUCAAGCAAUUCCUGUAAAGUUUAAAAAUGUUUACUAAGCCACUUUUAUCAUGAAAUAAAAUAUGUUUAUCUACAAUUCUCUUUAUUUUGCUGCAUCUUUCAAACAUCAGAGCAUCCAUUAAGGAUUCAAAUACAUGUCAAAACAGAUUUUAAAAAACGUGAGGAAAAAUUUUCUUUGUUUCCUCCUAAAAUGAGUCAACACUACUUUUGAUAUGUACUAGAAUGGUGAACAAUAUUAAUCCAUAAGAUUGUAGGAAAGGUUCUGUGGUUCUUUGAUCAAGUUUGGAUUACGAAAGCAGUUACACUGAGACUAUCAAUUUUUUUUUACCUCUGCUGGUAUUAACUCUUUCUCUCUGCAAUUAUUUGUCCACAUUCAGACGGAAUUCUUCAUUUUGCUCAUUACUAUUUCAAUACCAUGUUAUGAUUAAGCUUCAAUAACUUUUUCUUUGCUAUCAGAAAAUGUUUUAUUUGCUAUAGAAUUAAAGAGGAAGCAUACUCUUUUUAUAUAACACAAAGUAAAGUUUAUGAAAUGAAACAUCAAUUUAAUUUAAUGACGUCAAAUAAAUGAUGGUAUCAUCAAUUAGGAGAGAAAGAGUUAAAUAUCAUUAGGGUUCACUAUCCUUUUCUGCGCUUUAGUUUUAAAGCUUAAAAAUAUUCUAUAAAAGUAAAUCAUUAUUUAUUAUUAUUAUUUAUAAUUUAUUCAAAGCAGGUCCCACAACAUGUUAAAAGAUGUUAAAAGCUAUGGUGAGGGUAAAAGAAGAGGUAACAUAAACCUGUAAUUCAAAAUAUGUUUAUUUAAAAAUUGCAUUUCAGUAAUAGAAAAUAUUUAAAUCUAUUAAAGUUAUUUUUUUUGUUCAUAU